RNAcentral lists this unclassified non-coding RNA (30 nucleotides) under Trypanosoma grosi. Lineage: Eukaryota; Euglenozoa; Kinetoplastea; Trypanosomatida; Trypanosomatidae. The record is from RNAcentral.
AAAAUAGUAAUAAUAAUAAUAAAAAUAAUU